GUGAACGCUGGCGGUAGGCCUAACACAUGCAAGUCGCACGGCAGCACAGUAAGAGCUUGCUCUUACGGGUGGCGAGUGGCGGACGGGUGAGGAAUACAUCGGAAUCUACUUUUUCGUGGGGGAUAACGUAGGGAAACUUACGCUAAUACCGCAUACGACCUACGGGUGAAAGCAGGGGAUCUUCGGACCUUGCGCGAUUGAAUGAGCUGAUGUCGGAUUAGCUAGUUGGCGGGGUAAAGGCCCACCAAGGCGACGAUCCGUAGCUGGUCUGAGAGGAUGAUCAGCCACACUGGAACUGAGACACGGUCCAGACUCCUACGGGAGGCAGCAGUGGGGAAUAUUGGACAAUGGGCGCAAGCCUGAUCCAGCCAUACCGCGUGGGUGAAGAAGGCCUUCGGGUUGUAAAGCCCUUUUGUUGGGAAAGAAAAGCAGCAGGUUAAUACCCCGCUGUUCUGACGGUACCCAAAGAAUAAGCACCGGCUAACUUCGUG
This 491-nucleotide ribosomal RNA is filed under the name uncultured bacterium. Its description in RNAcentral is "partial 16S ribosomal RNA". It matches the Rfam family "Bacterial small subunit ribosomal RNA", at positions 29 to 507 of the family's 1533-position model. The record is from RNAcentral.